Long non-coding RNA from Oncorhynchus tshawytscha (Chinook salmon), 556 nucleotides. NCBI's taxonomy places the organism in Eukaryota, Metazoa, Chordata, Actinopteri, Salmoniformes, Salmonidae. The record is from Ensembl.
GUAAGGUGGAGGGUUAGGUGGAGGGUAAGGUGGAGGGUAUGGUAGAGGAUAAGGUGGAGGAUAUGGUGGAGGGUAUGGUGGAGGGUAAGGUGGAGGAUAAGGUGGAGGAUAUGGUGGAGGGUAUGGUGGAGGGUAAGGUGGAGGAUAAGGUGGAGGGUAAGGUGGAGGAUAAGGUGGAGGGUAUGGUGGAGGAUAAGGUGGAGGAUAAGGUGGAGGAUAAGGUGGAGGGUAUGGUGGAGGAUAAGGUGGAGGGUAUGGUGGAGGAUAUGGUGGAGGGUAUGGUAGAGGAUAAGGUGGAGGGUAUGGUGGAGGAUAUGGUGGAGGGUAUGGUAGAGGAUAAGGUGGAGGGUAUGGUGGAGGGUAAGGACAUUUAAUGUAAAAUGUUGGGUUGGAAAUACAAUCAUGGCUCUGAUGUGUACAGUACGGUAGAGGCAGACAACACUGUGCUUUCCUUUGUACACAGAAACUCUUCCUGUUUCUUUGUCUCUUGGUCUUUCCAUGUCUCUCUCUGCCUUUUCCAUAUCCUCCUCUCUCCUCUUCUCUCUCUUACCAUACC